Molecule: long non-coding RNA, 378 nt
Filed under: Setaria italica (foxtail millet)
Lineage: Eukaryota; Viridiplantae; Streptophyta; Magnoliopsida; Poales; Poaceae
Description: long non-coding RNA (SITA_LNC002677)
Source: RNAcentral
GAAGUUGCGGAUCUCUAUGGCAGUGUUGGCGUUGGUGAUGGAUGCGUUGAUGGGGAAGUGGGCGUAGACGAAGCGCAUCUUGUAGCGGUAUCCCUUGGUGACGCCGGUGAUGAGGUUCUGGACGUGGGAGAUGGCGGUGCGGAUGGCGGCCAUGGUGCGGCGGGUGCCGAACCAGGCGUCGACCUUGAGCUUGCGGCCGCCCUCCUGCAGCUGGAAGUCGAGGUUGAGGUGCUUGAAGUUGCGGGUGAGCUUGCCCCGCGGCCCCUCCACCGUGACCACCUUGGCCGCCACCUUGACGGUGACCUCCUCGGGGAUGUCCAUGGUCUCGGAAGCGAGGAUCGUCUUCAUCUUGCUGCGCCGGCGGCUACGGGUGCGCGG